UUCAAUUAUAUUACUCUUUUUUAAUUACUACUUGAUAUACUUUGUACUUCCUUUUAAUUAUACAUAUUUUUGUUAAUAUUUUGACCCUUCAUUGUUUUUCACUCUAAAGCACUUUGUCUUUAUUUUCGCCGUGUAUUUCUCCUUUUGCUGGUAUUUCUGUCAAGCACAUUGAAUGGUCUGUGUGUAUGAAAUGUGUGUAUGAAAAGUGUGUGUAUGAAAUGUGUGUAUGAAAUAUGUGUAUGAAAUGUGUGUAUGAAAAGUGGAAUGUAAACAGACUAGCCUGGUCUUGGCAGCGAGUGUGAUCAUUCUAAUGAGCGGAGAGGGAGCAGUGAGCAAGGUGUGUGUGGGGAGGGAGGUGCAGUGAGCACGGUGUGUGUGUGUGUGGAGGUGCAGUGGGCACGGUGUGUGUGUGUGUGGAGGUGC
Clupea harengus (Atlantic herring) is the source of this 423-nucleotide long non-coding RNA. The record is from Ensembl. Lineage: Eukaryota; Metazoa; Chordata; Actinopteri; Clupeiformes; Clupeidae.